Molecule: long non-coding RNA, 304 nt
Filed under: Sorghum bicolor (sorghum)
Lineage: Eukaryota; Viridiplantae; Streptophyta; Magnoliopsida; Poales; Poaceae
Description: long non-coding RNA (SBIC_LNC017872)
Source: RNAcentral
AGGCAAACUUUUUUGUUUUUUUUCUAGCCUCCAAAAUUUUUCUCCUAAUGUCAUCAGGUAACCUUAACUCCAUGUGAAAGUCUCAUACCAUUCCCAAUCUAUUUGCUAUAUUUAAUUAAUUUACCUCGUUUAAUUGAAUUUUCAGGGAUAACUCAAAUUUAAACUAAAAAAAUAAAUGGAAAAAUGGUAUUCAUGUUAUUUCAAAUCGAAUAAAGUUCAAAUAUAGGGAGUUAUAUCAAAUUUCAAACAUGUUGCUCAUGAAGCAUGAGCACGAUGUUAUGGCCUAGUCAUUUUAAAAUUCUAU